This 1931-nucleotide long non-coding RNA is filed under the name Phasianus colchicus (ring-necked pheasant). Its description in RNAcentral is "lncRNA (ENSPCLG00000013957.1)". Lineage: Eukaryota; Metazoa; Chordata; Aves; Galliformes; Phasianidae. The record is from RNAcentral.
AUCUAUGGGGCAGGAAGGGGAGUUAUGGGCUUUUGGAGUCUAUGGGGCAGAAAUGGGGUCUAUGGGGCAGCUAUGGGGCACCAGUAGAUCUAUGGGGCAGCAAUGGAUCUAUGGGGCAGCUGUGGGGUCUAUGGGGCACCAAUGGAUCUAUGGGGCAGCUAUGGGGCAGCUAUGGGGCACUGUCAGAUCUAUGGGGCAGAAAUGGGGUCUAUGGGGCACCAAUGGAUCUAUGGGGCAGUUAUGGGGCAGCUAUGGGGCAGCUAUGGGGUGCUGUUGGGUUCUAUGGGGCAGCUAUAGGGCACAGUCAGAUCUAUGGGGCAGCUAUGGGGCACCAGUAGAUCUAUGGGGCAGCAAUGGAUCUAUGGGGCAGCUAUGGGGCGCUGUAAGGUUCUAUGGGGCAGCUAUGGGGCAGAGUCAGAUCUAUGGGGCAGCUGUGGGGUCUAUGGGGCAGUUAUGGGGUCUAUGGGGCAGCUAUGGGGCGCUGUGAGCUUCUAUGGGGCAGCUAUGGGGCGCAAUCAGAUCUAUGGGGCAGUUAUGGGGUCUAUGGGGCAGCUAUGGGGCGCUGUAAGGUUCUAUGGGGCAGCUAUGGGGCACAGUCAGAUCUAUGGGGCAGCUAUGGGGCGCUGUGUGCUUCUAUGGGGCGCCGUCUCAUUUAUGGGGCCGCACCCUACAGUACCGCCUUCUCUGUGCCCCACAGCUGCCCCAUAAGUUGUGGGGCAGCCCCAUGGCUCUCCCUCCAGCCGCCAUCUUUGUCCUCCUGGCCGUCGCCCUCCAACCAUCCCUGCUGGCCACCAUGGGCCACCCCACGGCCCCGGUGACUACCAAAGACCCCCAAGUGGCCACCGAAGACCCCCAAGUGACCACCAGAGUCCCCAACCACGGCGACCCCCAAGUGGGCCACCAACAGCUCAACCCUGGCCACCAAACAACCAUAUUGGCCACCAGUGGCCACCCACCAACCCCAGUGACCACCAGAAGCCACCAAGGAACCACCGUUGGCCACCAAUCGACCGCUUUCGGCCACCAAAGAGCCUCCAUUGGCCACCAACCGACCGCCGUUGGCCACCAAAUGUCCCAAGUGGUCACCGUUGGCCACCAACUGAUCAGCACUGGCUACCAACCAACUGUUGUUGGCCACCAACUGAUCAGCACUGGCUACCAACCAACCAUCGUUGACCACCAACCAACCCAAGUGACCACAGUUGGCCAUCAAAGAGCCUCCGUUGGCUACCAACCAACCAUCGUUGGCCGCCAACCGACCCGAGAGACCACCGUUGGCCACCAAAGAGCCUCUGUUGGCCACCGACUGAGCAGCGUUGGCUACCAGCCGACCGCCGUUGGCCACCAACCAACCACCGUUGACCACCACCAACAACAACCGACCACCGUUGGCCACCGACCACCAACUUUUGACUACCAACCAACCACCGUUGACCACCACCACCAACAACAACCGACCACCGUUGGCCACCAACCGACCACCGUUGGCCACCACCACCCCCCAACCAUCGGCCACCACCUCCCCCCAUCUCCCACCACCCCGUUCCCAGCCCCCGCUUCCCAUCCGGCCCCCUCAUGGCUUAUAGCCACGCUAGCCACGGCGGCCAUCUUGGUAGUCACGGUGAUUUUGGUGGCUACUUGGUGCCGUCGGAGGCGCCGUUCCGGUUCGACCAAUUUGGGGCCUUGGAUCGGACCGGCGCCGGUGGGGGAGGAGGAUGUUGAGGCUUUGGCAACUGUGACGAAGCCUUUGGUGGCCACGGUGGCCACCGGUCAGGAGGUGGCUACUAAAAUGAGCACCUUUGUAGCCACCGGGGAGGGGGAGGAGGGGGGGGCGGAGAUGGGUGACCCCAAUGGGACCCCAGUGGGUGACCCCGAUGGGUGACCUGAAGUGACCCCGAUGUUGACCCCAAUGUGACCUGAAGUGACCCCAA